CGGAGGGUGCAAGCGUUAUCCGGAUUCACUGGGUUUAAAGGGUGCGUAGGUGGGUCUGUAAGUCCGUGGUGAAAUCUCCGAGCUUAACCUUGGAAACUGCCAUGGAUACUAUAGAUCUUGAAUACUGUGGAGGUUAGCGGAAGUAUGUCAUGUAGCGGUGAAAUGCUUAGAUAUGACAUAGAACACCAAUUGCGAAGGCAGCUGGCUACACAAAUAUUGACACUGAUGCACGAAAGCGUGGGGAUCAAACAGGAUUAGAUACCCUGGUAGUCCACGCCCUAAACGAUGGAUACUCGACAUUUGCGAUACACUGCAAGUGUCUGAGCGAAAGCAUUAAGUAUCCACCUGGGAAGUACGAUCGCAAGAUUG
This 369-nucleotide ribosomal RNA is filed under the name uncultured organism. RNAcentral's name for it is "bacterial SSU rRNA". It matches the Rfam family "Bacterial small subunit ribosomal RNA", at positions 526 to 896 of the family's 1533-position model. The record is from RNAcentral.